AAUGCAUAUGACACAAAAGUUGUGGGGAUCCAACAUAGAGAAAAUGUCAAAACUGACCUUAUGUCUAUAAAAAAGAGACGACGACAAAACCAGUGAUAAUAAGUUAUAAGCUAAAUGAAAUAAAAGGUAAUUAGGAGAAAAUCAAUUGAUCUCUCUCUCUCUUUUUUUCCUCUAUUAUUUUUCAGAAAGAGGAAAUUGCGUUAUUUCUCAUGCUUGAUCAAUCUAGUGAGGUUUUCACCCAGUAUAUCAGGUUUGUCUUCGGUAAUGUCUUGUCUUGUCUGGUUUUGUUUUUUUUUUUUUUUUUUUUUUUUAGUCUCUCUCAAUCAACCUCGCUUCUCUUUUAGAAAGGUUUCAAUCGGAUCAAAGUCUUAGAACGAUUUGUUUCAUCGUGCCCUCUCUGUUAGGGUUCAAUCAUCUUCAAGCUUUUGAUUUGCAUGCAAGGAUUUGAGACUUUCGUUUGUUUUAUUUGUUUGAUUCAAUUGGUUCUGGGUUUGAUGUUCUGAAGUGUUGUUUUUGAUUUCGUCUGUGCUGAAUCAAGCUAUUGUCGAAGCCAGAUUCUCUAUGUCGCGUUUUCCUGUCUCCGGUAUGUUUUCGGUGGAAUACCGAUUAGACCGUCCGGCAACGGCUUACCUUUGGGUGUAGCGUCAACUCUCAACUGCUAAAGGGGUUUGUCUAUAAAAGGAAGCCAACAAGCAAACUCUCACCAUAAAAAGUUGUCUAGUUAACAAAACCAAUACUACUCCUUCGUUUCUGUGUAUUGAUUGUAGACUUUGUAGUUACAGAAUCUUGUUUCGUAAUAUUUUAUUAAUACAAGUCAGUAACUAAAAUAUUAGUUUGCUCCAUUGUCAUUGUGGCCAAUUAUUUAAGUUAACGUCUUUGAAUUGUUUGUAGCCGGCUAAGAAUAAUACUGGAUGAAU
Molecule: long non-coding RNA, 917 nt
Organism: Brassica napus (rape)
Lineage: Eukaryota; Viridiplantae; Streptophyta; Magnoliopsida; Brassicales; Brassicaceae
Exons: 2
Source: RefSeq, a predicted model, not a curated record